CCCAUAGGCACAGUAAUCUAAUAAUCUAAAACACAAAUGCAUGCGAGUGAGUGUUACUACCUGACGUUAGUCCAGAAGAAGCUAAAAAGCUCAGCCUAGGUCUCAAUUGUACGUAGAUGCACGAAAGGCACCAUUGAAUGUCUCUUUCCACAAUUUCACGCAUGCAGGAAAUCAUGCCGUUAUUCACGCAAUGAUAGACACGAAACUCAGUGCUCAGUCUGGAAAAAAUAUUGUAAUUAUAGGCUAUUAUUACUGCGUUAAAUGUAAAUGAUUUCUUCCCUUCAAGAGAGCACACAAGAUAUUCGCUUAUCUUCAUUUUUGGAAAAGUAUUUGCAAGGAACAUGUCACAUGAUCUUGCUCUAAAAUCAAUUAAUACAUCUGGAAAAAUUUUCAUGUUUCAUGUAUAUCAUCAACGUGUUUUCCUAUACACUAUUUACACUUUUUCUUUUUCUUUUCAAUGUAAAUGCAAUGAACGUCUUAAUUUCUUGGGGGGAAGCUGUUAAUUCAGUUACGAUACAUGCCCGCAGUACUGCACAAAUGUUCCCUUAUUUUGAAUCAAUUAUGUCAAUUUAAUUGCCACAACCAUUCAUGCGUCCAUGACCAUGGGUUUGAUUUUAGUGUUUCGUACAAAGUCGUAUGUGUCCUUUCGCCGUAAACGAGUUUUAUUUCCUCCCGAGUACAUUCAAGUCGAUCCACAGCACAAGUGUCAGUUUUAAAUGUUUGUCCCUAGUUGAAAUAGUCGACAUCGCCAAUAUUUGAAUAUUAAUAUGCAUUUUCCAAUUAAGGUGCUUGAAGGUUCUAUGGUAAACGAAGCUUUUCUACUUUUGCAGCCGGUAAAUAGAGUUGCCAUAUGCAACACGAUCCAUGUUGUACAGUUUAAUAGUACAAUGUUAAUAAGGUGAAAUUAUUUUUCGUUAGUAAAACUUGUCAGGAUGAUUCAAGUUACACAUACUGCUAUCUUUGUCCGUAUAUAUACACAUACACUGCAACUGCACGGCGAUUUUUAGCGGUUGAUCAAGGAUCUUUCGGUUUCUAAUGAGACUUGAACAUCACCGGCGAUGCAACAAAACGAACAGCACUGAUGGUACUUUUACUUCAUAACUCCGACAGUGCUGCAUUAGCAUGUUCUAUGUCGUAACUGUUUCUAGUUUCACUUCCCCCAUUAACAAUAAUAAGAUCGCUUCAGUUCUUAAAGUCCAACUUAAAAGCUAAAUGUUUUCAAGAAAGUUAAGCAUCUUUAAAUUGUGCGGCUGUUAGGAAAAACAAUGUUCCUUUUCUGAUACAAGCAUGAUAAUUACAG
Non-coding RNA from Paramuricea clavata, 1300 nucleotides. Lineage: Eukaryota; Metazoa; Cnidaria; Anthozoa; Malacalcyonacea; Plexauridae. The record is from the annotation of a GenBank genome assembly.